RNAcentral lists this transfer RNA (72 nucleotides) under Stegodyphus mimosarum. It matches the Rfam family "tRNA". From Rfam's summary of the family: Transfer RNA (tRNA) molecules are approximately 80 nucleotides in length. Their secondary structure includes four short double-helical elements and three loops (D, anti-codon, and T loops). Further hydrogen bonds mediate the characteristic L-shaped molecular structure. tRNAs have two regions of fundamental functional importance: the anti-codon, which is responsible for specific mRNA codon recognition, and the 3' end, to which the tRNAs corresponding amino acid is attached (by aminoacyl-tRNA synthetases). tRNAs cope with the degeneracy of the genetic code in two manners: having more than one tRNA (with a specific anti-codon) for a particular amino acid; and 'wobble' base-pairing, i.e. permitting non-standard base-pairing at the 3rd anti-codon position. Lineage: Eukaryota; Metazoa; Arthropoda; Arachnida; Araneae; Eresidae. The record is from Rfam by way of RNAcentral.
GCCUUCGUGGUGUAAGGGCAGCACACUCGGUGCACAUUCGAGAUGUCCGAGGUUCGAAUCCCGGCGAGGACA